UCUUUGUACUUUGAAAAAAAAAUUAAGCCAAAGGAAAAAAAAAAACCUUCCUUUCCCAGUCAAAUAUACUAGCAAACAAGAAGCUGUUAGAAAACAAUUCUCGCUGGUGUAGAUUUUGUCCUGUUUUGGUUGUGAGGAUGAGGGGCUGGUGUGGAUCAACAGUCCUGAGGGGGAAGCAGGAAUCCCAGAAGACGGAGGGUCAGGCUGGGGAAUGCAGUUCUGGAAGCUGAGAGCAGAGUGCCCAGUCCUUUCACAUCAGGUAUGAGUCAAACGCCAGGACAGGGGUGUGGUAAAGGUCAGGCACCAGGACAUCCAGGGACAGAAGCCAGCAGACAAGUGAGGCUGCAGGGGAGGCCAGGGUCAUGUGGGUCAUUCUGGGAUGGAAGCUGAUAGGUGGGAGAGUGGAGAAAGCAGGCAGGUAGGGCUCGCAGCCAGGUGAGGGUUCAGAGUGGGCGUAUAUGAGCCUCAGUUCUAAGACCUCUGGAUCCAAGCUGUCAUCAACCGUGAAAGUCAGACAUAGAAGUUGCCAGUGACUUUGGAGCCUCCCAAAGGAAGGGACCCAAGUAGGGGAGGUCCUGGGGUGGCAGAGUUUUGAGAAGUUAUGUGGCAGAGAGCCUGUGCAUGAGGGAGAAAGGGUGAUGUAAAGGGUUAACCUCUGAAACCAGAGGCAUGGAUGAAGGCUGAGCCUCUCUUGCAGCCUAGGAACUUGAGAAAUGAGUUAUGGACAGUUCAGUUUGCCAUAGUGCUGCAUUCAGGAGCUUCUGUCCAAGACACAAAGCCUGGCUGGCCUGUCAUUUCUUAAUAAUCCAGCAAGCUUCCAGGACUGACUUCAUCCUUCUGUCCAUUCAAUCAUCCAUCCAUCCACUUACCCAUCCAUCUAUCCAAAGGGGCACAAGGACACUUUUAGGGCUGAUGGAUGUGUUCACUGUCUUGACUGCUAUGAUGGUUUUAUGGGUGUGUACAUGUGUUAGAACUGGUAAAGUGGUAUACUUUAAAUGUGUGCAUGUGAGUGUACCUUAAUUAUAUUUCAAUAAAGUUGGAAAAAAGGAAGGUAAAUAACAGUAGGUCAAAACUGAUAACACCCCACAUUAUCCAUGGACAAGACAAUGGAUAAGCUGUGGAAUAUCCAUACAAUGGAAUACUGCUCAGCAGUAGAAAGGAACAAAUUGCUCAAAUAUACGACAACAUGGACCAUCUCACACAUGAAUGCUGAUCAAAAGACGUCAGAUGCGACAAUCAUUCUGUACAGUUCCAUUUAUAUACACUUCAAAAACAGAGAAAACAGGCCUGGCAUGGUGGCUUAUGCCUAUAAUUCUAGCACUUUGGGAGGCCA
RNAcentral lists this long non-coding RNA (1333 nucleotides) under Homo sapiens (human). RNAcentral's name for it is "HSALNT0303965". The record is from RNAcentral. Lineage: Eukaryota; Metazoa; Chordata; Mammalia; Primates; Hominidae.